ACGAACGCUGGCGGCGUGCUUAACACCUGCAAGUCGAACGGAAAGGCCCUGCUUUUGUGGGGUGCUCGAGUGGCGAACGGGUGAGUAACACGUGAGUAACCUGCCCUUGACUUUGGGAUAACUUCAGGAAACUGGGGCUAAUACCGGAUAGGAGCUCCUGCUGCAUGGUGGGGGUUGGAAAGUUUCGGCGGUUGGGGAUGGACUCGCGGCUUAUCAGCUUGUUGGUGGGGUAGUGGCUUACCAAGGCUUUGACGGGUAGCCGGCCUGAGAGGGUGACCGGCCACAUUGGGACUGAGAUACGGCCCAGACUCCUACGGGAGGCAGCAGUGGGGAAUAUUGCACAAUGGGCGGAAGCCUGAUGCAGCAACGCCGCGUGCGGGAGGACGGCCUUCGGGUUGUAAACCGCUUUCGCCUGUGACGAAGCGUGAGUGACGGUAAUGGGGAAAGAAGCACCGGCUAACUACGU
This 466-nucleotide ribosomal RNA is filed under the name uncultured bacterium. RNAcentral's name for it is "partial 16S ribosomal RNA". It matches the Rfam family "Bacterial small subunit ribosomal RNA", at positions 29 to 506 of the family's 1533-position model. The record is from RNAcentral.